UACAGAGGGUGCGAGCGUUGUCCGGAAUCACUGGGCGUAAAGGGCGCGUAGGUGGCGUCGCAAGUCGAUGGUGAAAGCUCGGCGCUCAACGCCGAGUCGGCCCUUGAUACUGCGAGGCUGGAGCACUGUAGAGGCUAAUGGAAUUCCCGGUGUAGCGGUGAAAUGCGCAGAUAUCGGGAAGAACACCAGUGGCGAAGGCGGCUCACUGGUCCGGUACUGACGCGUGAGGUGCG
This 233-nucleotide ribosomal RNA is filed under the name uncultured bacterium. RNAcentral's name for it is "partial 16S ribosomal RNA". It matches the Rfam family "Bacterial small subunit ribosomal RNA", at positions 524 to 755 of the family's 1533-position model. The record is from RNAcentral.